GAAACUUAAAGGAAUUGACGGA
RNAcentral lists this non-coding RNA (22 nucleotides) under Arabidopsis thaliana (thale cress). Lineage: Eukaryota; Viridiplantae; Streptophyta; Magnoliopsida; Brassicales; Brassicaceae. The record is from RNAcentral. RNAcentral also lists the same sequence under 3 other names.